This is a long non-coding RNA of Cicer arietinum (chickpea), 496 nucleotides long. RefSeq lists it as uncharacterized. The record is from RefSeq and is a predicted model, not a curated record. Lineage: Eukaryota; Viridiplantae; Streptophyta; Magnoliopsida; Fabales; Fabaceae.
GACGUAGUUCGUAUUUUAUCUUACACUUUUUCUUAACAUUUAUUUAAAUUCUAAUGGGGAUACAAUUUGAUUUAUGGUAGUAACUAGAAAGUUUCUCAAUUAUAUCUAUAAAUAGUCUCUAGUAUGUGAUGCUUGCUCACUCAUAUCUUGAAAGAGAAAAUGGUUUAUCGCGUCAACUACAUCUAUUUCUUCAUUGUAUUGCUAUGCAUGACAUCCAUUUUCACUACAGAAGGAACACCACGGGUUCAUUGCAACGACAAAUGGGAUUGUCCAGAUGAAGAAGGUUGUCAUAAAUUUUGUUUGAGAUUGUACAAUCUUAACAUUUCCAGAUGCCUAACAAAUUUUUGUUGUUGUGGAGAAUAAUUUGUGCCUUCACAAAAUAUUUGUAAAAUUGUUUCUCUAAACAAUCUUUUAUGAACUCUAUGAGAAUAAGUGAAGAGGUUAAAAUAUCUCAUUUCUAAUAUUUAUUAUUAUAUUAUAUUUUGUUUUGACAAAA